GUUGAAAUGAGGGCUGCUCCUCCUGAAGAAGAGAAGGCUGUAGACAUCAUAAGGAUGGCCGGGCAGCCUGUCCUGUGUGGCCCGGGGCAGAGCUGGGGCCAAUUAGGAACAGGGAGGACAUUAUCCCCAGGGACAGAUGUUAACUCAGUGAGAGGGAGGUCUUUCCAAUGGCAUGGGGGGUUCAAGGUGGUCCAGAGGCCUUGGGAGGAGAGAGAUGUUCUCUAUGGAAAAUGUUCCUCCUGCUGCAUAUAAGAAGCAGAACACAGAACAUUAUGGUCUCUUCUGUAAAUCCACCUAGUGCCAAGUGUGUGUAGGCUCCCCGGGGUCUGGGAGGAUGGACAUUGGCUUCCUAAGGAGACCUGUCCUCCAGGGACAGAGGGAGGAACGUGCUUGCCAGCCAGAGUCCAGGCUGUUGGAGGCCCAUGGUGAAUUCACCCUGAGCUUCUGCUCUCUCCACCGUCCUUCUGGACUCUUGGCUUCAUCAUCUCAGGUGGAAGCUUGAACCACUUAGGAAUUCUCCCUCAGAGAAAGGAAGGAAGACCUUUACUCAUUUAAUUUCUGGCAUCUACUGUGCACCCC
Molecule: long non-coding RNA, 579 nt
Filed under: Equus asinus (donkey)
Lineage: Eukaryota; Metazoa; Chordata; Mammalia; Perissodactyla; Equidae
Description: lncRNA (ENSEASG00005025353.1)
Source: RNAcentral